This is a long non-coding RNA of Armigeres subalbatus, 943 nucleotides long. RefSeq lists it as uncharacterized. The transcript has 4 exons. The record is from RefSeq and is a predicted model, not a curated record. Lineage: Eukaryota; Metazoa; Arthropoda; Insecta; Diptera; Culicidae.
UCCAUGUCGGAAUUUUCCGCCUGCAGCUGCGCAUCCCGAAAAAUUUGAAUAUUCGUCGGUUCGGUGUUGAAACUGUCCGGAAGUAUUCCUUAUGAUAUCGAUAAUAAAUUGACGGAAGGUCGCCUUUACGCUUUACAGCACCAUUGCAAAGUACGCUCAACAUUAAAGCCAAUAGCUGUGACGAAAUCACAAAAUGCUUGUGCAAUCGUGAAAUUAUGCGCGAUAUCCGCCCAGAUGUUGUGGAUUCAUCCAAGACCAGAUCAGAGAAUCUAUCGGAUGUCCCUGAUCGGCCGGAGGAGGAGCGAACCGCCUUCAGGUCGCUUGGUCGCAGAGAAGGGCAAACAAACGAUUUAGCACCGGAGACCGUACAACAUAAGAGGUACAAUACAUAAUCCGCAUUGAUAUCUUCGGGAAUUGGACAUAUAGGCUGAAGGCAAUUGUCUUGGAACGCAUGUGGAAAUCUGCUAAGUGUAACAAGUGGCGCAGUAUGGAAAGAUGUUUGGAGUUGUGGCAAGAUUUGUUGCUCUGUGGCAUCCAGUCUUCAAACAGUGGCAUCCGUCUUCAAACCGGUUUUUAUUUUCCGAUUUACUGCCCAGAAUAUCGUUGUUCCAAACGAUUGAACCUCGGUACCAGUACCCCAUCAGAACAAAAACCAUUUUGCCCUACUACACCACGGAGUUUGUCGCUGGAAUAUCUACAACCCGAUGCAAAAUUGGACUGUUUUCUUAUAUAUAAUCGGAAAAGUGAGCCAACAGUAUAAUACGCUAACGCAACGGCGGAGAAAUACCGGUCCACCUGAUGUGAACAACUACAGAAUUCGACGAAUCAACAGUCUUUGGACUUUUUGAUAGGGAGAGCUACAUUCAUGGAACCACAGAUGGCAUAGCCACCCACAUCCCGAGUUGCACUUACAAUCUCCGUGAUGGGGCCAAUACCUGAUACC